This 634-nucleotide ribosomal RNA is filed under the name uncultured bacterium. Its description in RNAcentral is "bacterial SSU rRNA". The stretch from base 1 to 534 matches the Rfam family "Bacterial small subunit ribosomal RNA", at positions 338 to 873 of the family's 1533-position model. The record is from RNAcentral.
CCUACGGGAGGCAGCAGUGAGGAAUAUUGGACAAUGGGCGCAAGCCUGAUCCAGCCAUGCCGCGUGCAGGAUGACGGUCCUAUGGAUUGUAAACUGCUUUUGCACAGGAAGAAACAACGCUACGUGUAGCGUCUUGACGGUACUGUGAGAAUAAGGAUCGGCUAACUCCGUGCCAGCAGCCGCGGUAAUACGGAGGAUCCAAGCGUUAUCCGGAAUCAUUGGGUUUAAAGGGUCCGUAGGCGGUUUAGUAAGUCAGUGGUGAAAGCCCAUCGCUCAACGGUGGAACGGCCAUUGAUACUGCUAGACUUGAAUUAUUAGGAAGUAACUAGAAUAUGUAGUGUAGCGGUGAAAUGCUUAGAGAUUACAUGGAAUACCAAUUGCGAAGGCAGGUUACUACUAAUUGAUUGACGCUGAUGGACGAAAGCGUGGGUAGCGAACAGGAUUAGAUACCCUGGUAGUCCACGCCGUAAACGAUGGAUACUAGCUGUUGGGAGCAACUUCAGUGGNGAGAGAAGUAGAGUAAGUAGUACCACCGUCGGGUAGGUACGUUACGUUCGUAAGAAGUUAGAACGUUACGAAGGAAGUUAGUUACGGACGNGAGACGAGCGACGGACGACGACGAGGGAGGAGGAGG